UCCUUAUUUUUCUGAGUCUGCUCUUCUCUCUCUCCUCCUCCUCACCUUCACCUAUCAACUGGUUUUCUCCGCCCUCAUUGUUCACCAAAAAUGCAGAGAGACGACUACCAUUUUUCUUCAUUAUCCCUCGUCAGAUCUGUCUCUCUCUUCAGGACUAAAGCUCGUAUUGAAUCUGCCUGGAACUCAGUUAACCUAUACGAUGUGCUUACAAUCAUUUUUGAUGUUCAUAGACAUCUCAGCAGUUGCUGUUCUCCAGGUUUGUCUCUAAGGUCACUAAGGAGUUCAUGCAGACCCUAGCCAGCUAUUUCGAGUUGCAGCUCAUCAAGCUAAAAUUCUAGGACAAUAUUGUUUGUUGAGUUGAUCUUUACUAAGGAUGACUUAAAGGAGUAGCGUAGGGGGAUAUUUCCAUGUACAAGAUAAUGAGGAAAAGGAGUAUAGAUAGAGGGGACUUGAGACUUGCUUCUAUAUAUAGAACUCAAGUUCCUGUUUUAUAUUGAGACUCAAUACUAGCUCAAUACUGGAAUAUAGUAGUAUGAGAUUUCUCCUAUAUCCUUAAAAAAUCAUAUUAUUACUCGCAAUACCACCUGUUUAACUUGCUAACUCAUCAGCAAAGGCUUCUAACAGUAAUAUUGACCAUGAUCUCACUAAAUUCAUGUGGAUUCUUUGACAUAGGAUUCGGCCUUCUGCUGAGACCUUGAUAUAAGAAGAAGUAUUCCAAGCUAAAGAGGUCAACAAAAUGUACUUUUGAUGUUUAUAAUAGGCAAGCAUUAAUAUAUCAGCUUCUCUGUGGUUAAAGGAAUUUGUAGCGGUGAGAUAGAUUGCGGGAGUUAUGAUAUAUACGCUGUAUUUUUUAAUUUUUUUUGCGCAUAUUAUAGAUAAUUGCUUAAUACAUGGUAUAAAUUAA
Long non-coding RNA from Spinacia oleracea (spinach), 904 nucleotides. RefSeq lists it as uncharacterized. The transcript is spliced from 5 exons. Lineage: Eukaryota; Viridiplantae; Streptophyta; Magnoliopsida; Caryophyllales; Amaranthaceae. The record is from RefSeq and is a predicted model, not a curated record.